UGACUGAGUCAUGAACCUGGAAGUUUGUUCGGUCAGCCAGCUAUAGUUUCUGUUUGGUAAAAACACAGGGUUUUUGACUUAAUCACUCACUCCCUGCAAACCUGAGCAGGAUUAAGCGGGUGAAAAAUGAAUCGACUGAUGGAUUGCUGUUCACGUCUGCUACCUUUUGCGAGUUCUUUGACAAACCUGUUUUUCUUUUCUGCCAUUUAAUCCAGUUUGUGUGAUUUUACUUUUCACAUAAAUUUUGCCUGGACGCUCCACUGUUGGGGAAAGACAGCCAUUUUAGGCAGAAAACCAGACACACAGAAAUAAGGAGGUGUGACAUGAAAGUCGACUGAACAUCAGAGACGGCACAUAAGAAGGAAACAUAUUUUUGAUUAUCUUUUUCUUAGAAUUUCCACUUGUUUUUUGCUGUUCAAAGUCAAAAGCAUUCUUCUACUGCUGGGAAUAUAAACAAAGAACAAAGUAAAUCAUAAGGAAUGUGUGUGUACAUUACUUGUCACAUGGAGGAUUAUGUACUUUCUAAAAAUAACUAGGAUCUUCUUUGAUCAGAGUGAUACAGCACACCCUAAAGACUACAGGUUAUUGCAAUGGUAACCUCACAUUGCCCUUGGUCUUGGCUAGCGUAGGAAUUAUAAACAUGUUUCAUAGCUCAAUAAAACUAUUAGUCAGUCAAACAUUUUUGUCUCUCCAUACCUUUUAUACUACAAAAAGAAACAUUUUGAUGUAUAACUAGGAACAUACCAGUAAGUAAUGGAUUGAAGUAUUGAGUUGCAUAGUAACGUUGUUGUUUAUAAUGUGUGGUAUUUUUAAUAAAUACUUCAUGUGAGCGCUA
Long non-coding RNA from Brienomyrus brachyistius, 835 nucleotides. RefSeq lists it as uncharacterized. The transcript is spliced from 2 exons. The record is from RefSeq and is a predicted model, not a curated record. Lineage: Eukaryota; Metazoa; Chordata; Actinopteri; Osteoglossiformes; Mormyridae.